This 4192-nucleotide unclassified non-coding RNA is filed under the name Hevea brasiliensis (rubber tree). Lineage: Eukaryota; Viridiplantae; Streptophyta; Magnoliopsida; Malpighiales; Euphorbiaceae. The record is from RNAcentral.
AUCCAAAUCUAUGCUCUCUUCUUAACUCUCCCUCGUUAAACCCUAAUUCUUCAAAUCCCUUCCCUCUCAUAAACCUUAAUUCUACAUUUCUACUCUUCUCCCUGUCUUUCUCUCCAAAACCCGAGACCGAACCAUGUACCUUUACAGUCUUACGCUGCAACGAGCGACCGGCAUCGUCUCCGCAAUCAACGGCAGUUUUUCCGGCGGCAAGACCCAAGAAAUUGUAGUAGCUCGUGGAAAGGUACUUGAUCUACUCCGCCCCGACGAGAACGGUAAGCUUCAGACCAUUCUCUCUGUUGAAAUCUUCGGUGCUAUUCGCUCUCUAGCUCAGUUCAGACUAACUGGAUCUCAAAAGGACUAUAUAGUUGUUGGGUCUGAUUCAGGAAGAAUCGUAAUUCUAGAAUAUAACAAGGAGAGAAAUGUUUUUGAUAAAAUACACCAGGAAACUUUUGGGAAAUCUGGGUGUCGCCGGAUUGUUCCGGGCCAGUUUUUGGCCAUUGACCCGAAAGGAAGAGCUGUGAUGAUAGGUGCAUGUGAGAAACAGAAGUUAGUUUAUGUUUUGAAUAGAGAUACUGCUGCUAGGUUGACUAUAUCCUCACCGUUAGAGGCGCAUAAGUCUCAUACUAUUGUGUAUUCAAUUAGUGGUGUUGAUUGUGGGUUUGAUAACCCAAUAUUUGCGGCUAUUGAGUUGGAUUAUUCAGAGGCAGACCAGGAUUCGACAGGGCAGGCUGCUAGUGAGGCACAGAAGCAUUUGACGUUUUAUGAACUUGAUUUAGGGCUUAAUCAUGUGUCUAGGAAGUGGUCUGAGCAGGUUGAUAAUGGGGCAAAUAUGCUUGUUACAGUGCCUGGAGGUGGAGAUGGACCAAGUGGAGUUUUGGUUUGUGCUGAGAAUUUUGUAAUUUAUAAGAAUGAGGGGCAUCCAGAUGUGAGAGCAGUGAUUCCUAGGCGCGCAGAUUUACCUGCUGAGCGAGGAGUUUUGAUAGUUUCUGCAGCUACUCAUAAGCAGAAAUCCAUGUUUUUCUUUCUUUUGCAGACAGAAUAUGGUGAUAUUUUUAAGGUUACAUUGGAUCAUGAGAAUGAUAAGGUUAAGGAGUUGAAAAUUAAGUAUUUUGAUACAAUUCCUGUUACUGCUUCAAUGUGUGUGUUAAAAUCAGGGUUUUUGUUUGCUGCAUCAGAGUUUGGGAAUCAUGCACUGUAUCAAUUUCAGGCAAUUGGGGAGGAAGCUGAUGUGGAGGCCUCAUCAGCUACUUUAAUGGAAACUGAGGAAGGUUUCCAGCCUGUGUUUUUCCAGCCAAGAGGGUUGAAGAAUCUUGUUAGAAUUGACCAGGUGGAGAGCUUGAUGCCUAUUAUGGAUAUGAAGGUUGCUAAUCUUUUUGAUGAGGAAACCCCUCAGAUAUUUUCACUUUGUGGGCGUGGUCCUCGGUCCUCAUUGAGGAUAUUGAGGCCAGGUUUGGCCAUUAGUGAGAUGGCUGUUUCACAGCUUCCGGGUGUACCAAGUGCAGUCUGGACUGUGAAAAAGAAUGUUAAUGAUGAGUUUGAUGCAUAUAUUGUUGUGUCCUUCAACAAUGCAACUCUUGUGCUUUCAAUUGGAGAAACAGUUGAGGAAGUUAGUGACAGUGGGUUUCUUGAUACUACGCCUUCCAUAGCUGUUUCUUUGAUAGGUGAUGAUUCUUUGAUGCAAGUUCACCCAAAUGGCAUCAGGCAUAUAAGGGAAGAUGGGCGUAUAAAUGAAUGGAGGACUCCUGGAAAGAGAACAAUUGUGAAGGUUGGCUCCAAUAGACUUCAAGUCGUUAUUGCUUUAAGUGGAGGGGAGCUUAUAUAUUUUGAGGUUGAUGUUACUGGUCAGCUAAUGGAGGUGGAAAAGCAUGAGAUGUCUGGAGAUGUUGCCUGUUUGGAUAUUGCCCCUGUUCCAGAAGGAAGACAGAGGUCCCGAUUCCUUGCAGUUGGUUCAUAUGACAACACCAUCCGUAUCUUAUCUUUGGAUCCUGAUGAUUGUAUGCAAAUUCUAAGUGUUCAAAGUGUUUCAGCACCUCCCGAAUCCCUCCUCUUUCUCGAGGUUCAGGCAUCAGUAGGUGGGGAGGAUGGUGCUGAUCAUCCUGCUAGCCUUUUCCUUAAUGCUGGUUUGCAGUCUGGGGUUCUAUUCAGGACAGUGGUGGACAUGGUGACAGGCCAGCUUUCUGAUUCUCGUUCCCGGUUCUUGGGCUUGAGGGCACCAAAACUCUUCUCCGUUGUUGUGAGAGGCCGACGUGCAAUGUUGUGCUUAUCAAGUCGACCCUGGCUUGGUUAUAUUCACCAAGGGCAUUUCCUUUUAACACCCCUUUCAUAUGAGACUCUUGAAUUUGCUGCUUCAUUCUCAUCUGAUCAGUGUGCGGAAGGUGUUGUGGCUGUAGCUGGGGAUGCACUGAGGAUUUUUACCAUUGAAAGGUUGGGUGAGACAUUUAAUGAAACCGCAAUACCUCUGAGGUACACUCCAAGAAAGUUUGUGGUUCAACCUAAGAAGAAACUUUUGGUUAUUAUUGAGAGUGACCAAGGAGCAUAUACAGCAGAGGAGCGUGAAGCUGCCAAAAAGGAGUGUUUUGAGGCUGCUGGGAUGGGGGAAAAUGGAAGUGCCAAUGCUGACCAGAUGGAGAAUGGUGGUGAGGAUGAAGAUAAAGAUGAUCCACUCUCUGAUGAGCAGUAUGGUUAUCCAAAGACAGAAUCAGAAAAGUGGGUUUCUUGCAUCAGAGUUCUUGACCCAAGGACAGCAUCCACAACUUGUCUGCUAGAGCUUCAGGACAAUGAAGCUGCAUUUAGUGUGUGCACAGUAAACUUCCAUGACAAGGAGCAUGGAACUCUUUUAGCUGUUGGUACUGCAAAGGGACUCCAGUUUUGGCCCAAAAGAAGUUUAGUUGCUGGGUUCAUUCACAUCUAUAAGUUUGUGGAUGAUGGCAGAACCCUGGAACUUUUGCAUAAGACACAAGUGGAAGGUGUGCCACUUGCAUUAUGCCAGUUUCAGGGAAGACUGCUUGCUGGGAUAGGAUCAGUGCUCAGACUGUAUGACUUGGGGAAGAAGAGGUUGCUUAGGAAAUGUGAGAAUAAGUUGUUCCCUAACACUAUAGUUUCUAUUCACACUUAUCGUGAUAGGAUCUACGUUGGUGAUAUUCAAGAGUCAUUCCAUUUCUGCAAGUAUAGGCGGGAUGAAAAUCAGCUCUACAUGUUUGCGGACGAUUGUGUUCCAAGAUGGAUUACUGCAUCAUACCACAUAGAUUUUGAUACUGUGGCAGGUGCUGACAAGUUUGGGAAUGUCUAUUUUGUGCGGUUGCCACAGGAUGUUUCUGAUGAGAUAGAGGAAGAUCCGACUGGCGGAAAAAUAAAGUGGGAACAGGGAAAGCUUAAUGGAGCCCCAAACAAGGUAGAGGAGAUUGUACAGUUUCAUGUUGGUGAUGUGAUUACUAGCCUGCAUAAAGCAUCCCUAAUUCCUGGUGGUGGAGAGUGCAUCAUAUAUGGGACGGUGAUGGGGAGCUUGGGGGCACUGCUUCCGUUCACCUCUCGCGAUGAUGUUGACUUCUUUUCACACUUGGAGAUGCAUUUGAGGCAGGACCACCCACCAUUGUGUGGAAGAGACCAUAUGGCAUAUAGAUCUGCGUAUUUUCCAGUUAAGGAUGUGAUUGAUGGGGAUUUAUGUGAGCAGUUCCCAACACUUCCUCUUGAUAUGCAGAGAAAAAUUGCUGAUGAAUUGGAUAGAACUCCUGGGGAGAUACUGAAGAAACUUGAAGAAGUUCGAAAUAAAAUAAUUUAAGGUGUUUUAGUAAUGGAGUUCAUUAGGAUCAAUAUCAGUGGCAGACUGAGGUGAAAUGUGCUUUGGAAUAGUCUAGGAAAUGCAGACGUUAUAUUAGACAGUGGCAGACCUUAAUGCAAAGAUCGGCCUUGUGUAUUUUCAUUGGUGGAAAAAGCUACCUGGAAGUUUUUUUGGUUGACAGAAGUCAUUAUUAGAACCUUUUGAAGUAGCCCUUUCUGUAGAUGUAUUGUCAUUUGUGAAUGCAACGUCUUAGAAUCUAUUGUUUUGCCUGGCAUCUAUGAAAAUGGGUAACACCGUAUAAGAUGUUAAUGGAUGUUGUAACUAGCCUAGAUAGUUUAGCUGUUUCUGUAUGAUUAAGUUUGAAAAUUUGGAAUAUCUCGAGAAGAAGAAAUCCGCUCCAAGGCACAUUUUAAG